UGAAGGAAAGGUGAAAAGGACCCCGGGAGGGGAGUGAAAGAGAACCUGAAACCCUGUGUUUACAAGCUGUGGAACAUCAUUAUUCGAUGAACCGCGUACUUUUUGUAGAACGGUCCGGCGAGUUACGCUUACUGGCAAGGUUAAGCACUGAAGGUGCGGAGCCGGAGGGAAACCAAGUCUGAAUAGGGCGAUGAGUCAGUAGGAGUAGACCCGAAACCGGGUGAUCUAUCCAUGUCCAGGUUGAAGCUGCCGUAAGAGGUAGUGGAGGACCGAACGCACAUCCGUUGAAAAGGGUGGCGAUGAGGUGUGGAUAGGGGAGAAAUUCCAAUCGAACCCGGAGAUAGCUGGUUCUCCUCGAAAUAGCUUUAGGGCUAGCCUCGUAUUAGUCUAGUGGAGGUAGAGCACUGAAUUUCCUAGGGGGCGUCAAAGCUUACCGAAGAAUAUCAAACUCCGAAUGCCAUAUAGAUGAUGUACGGGAGUCAGACUGCACGAGAUAAGUUGGGCAGUCAAAAGGGAAAGAGCCCAGACCGCCAGCUAAGGUCCCAAAGUGUGUGUUAAGUGGAAAAGGAUGUGGGAUUUCGAAGACAACUAGGAUGUUGGCUCAGAAGCAGCCAUACAUUAAAAGAGUGCGUAAUAGCUCACUAGUCGAGAGGUCCUGCGCCGAAAAUGUCCGGGGCUGAAACACAACACCGAAGCUGCGGAACCCGCAAGGGUUGGUAGAGGAGCAUUCUUAAAGGAACGAAGCAGUACCGAAAGGAGCUGUGGACUUUUAAGAAGAGAGAAUGCCGGAAUGAGUAGCGAGAGUAAGGUGAGAAUCCUUACGGCCGAAUAUCCAAGGUUUCCAGGGUAAAGCUGAUCUGCCCUGGGGAAGUCGGGACCUAAGGCGAGGCCGAGAGGCGUAGCCGAUGGACAACAGGUUGAGAUUCCUGUACUACAGUAUGACAGAACUGUGGGGACGCAGAAGGAGAGCACUACCUGGAAUGGAAUCCAGGGGCAAGCACAGGAGGGGUACGGCUGGAAAAACCGCCGUGCAACCCAAAGGUGUGACGCAUACCGAACUAAAGUAGGGAAAUGUGUGAGCCGGCUGCCGAGAAAAGCCGCUAUUGUUUGUACUGUACCCGUACCGUAAACCGACACAGGUGGAUGAGGAGAGAAUCCUAAGGCCGACGGAAGAAGCAUUGCUAGGGAACUCGGCAAAAUGACCCUGUAACUUCGGGAGAAAGGGUGCCUCGAAAGAGGCCGCAGAGAAUAGGCCCAAGCAACUGUUUAGCAAAAACACAGGUCUAUGCAAAACCGCAAGGUGAAGUAUAUGGGCUGACGCCUGCCCGGUGCUGGAAGGUUAAGGGGAGAUGUCAGGAGACGAAGCAUCGAACUUAAGCCCCAGUAAACGGCGGCCGUAACAAUAACGGUCCUAAGGUAGCGAAAUUCCUUGUCGGGUAAGUUCCGACCCGCACGAAAGGCGUAAUGAUAUGGGCGCUGUCUCGGCAAUGCAUCCGGUGAAAUUGAAGUGCCAGUGAAGAUGCUGGCUACCCGCGCCAGGACGGAAAGACCCC
Molecule: ribosomal RNA, 1553 nt
Filed under: metagenome
Description: bacterial LSU rRNA
Rfam family: Bacterial large subunit ribosomal RNA
Source: RNAcentral